Molecule: long non-coding RNA, 1126 nt
Organism: Gigantopelta aegis
Lineage: Eukaryota; Metazoa; Mollusca; Gastropoda; Neomphalida; Peltospiridae
Exons: 3
Source: RefSeq, a predicted model, not a curated record
CUAAAAUGUGUACAGGACCUGUGUGCAAAGAAACUGAUAGCAUUCAAAUAGUUCACCUGAUUCGCAGCACACAGGUGCAUGUACCACUGGGCUUAGAGUCAGUGUCCCACAUCAGGGAUAUGCUGUACUCCUCAGCAGUUGGAUUGUGACAAGCCAGACCUACAAAGUGUUCAAGGAGUGAAAAACAACAGGAUUACCAAGACAACCACCUGACACUUUCCAUGUCAAAUCAAACAUAUUUCUUAAAACAUAUCAGACUGUACAACUACUACUACUAAACCACAGUACCAGCUGUCAAACGUUCGGAUUUAUAUGCACAAAAUUACCUUUUGUACAUCACACAAAAGAACUACUGCCAAACAGUGAAAUCCAGCAGGUGACUUGUUUUGUGCUGGGGUGCUGUUUAACUUAGUUGUUAAUCAAUUAUCAUACUGGAAACGUUAAUAUUAAUGAAGCAUCAGAUUCGAGACUUUCCUAUUAACAAAUUGUCAUAUUGGAAACUGUUAUCAACAAAAUCAUCACAUUGAAAACUUUCUUCUCAAUAAAGAUUGGAAAUAUAUUACUAAAAUAUAUUACUAAAUCGUCAGAUUGGAAUCUUUCUCAUCAACAUAUUAUCAACACUGGAAAUUUUAUCAAUAAAUCAUUAUAUUGGAAUCCUUAUUAGUGAACUGUUAUAUUGGAAACUUUUACUAUCAAUGAAACAAUACACUGAAGACUGCUAUCAAUAAAUCAACUAGUACAUAAUUAUACACCUAUAGCGAUCAAGCAUGAAGAUGUAUCUACGACAUACAAUAAGGACAAUAUUUGUCCAUGAAAAGUUGUUUGCAGUAGCGUUGGUCUUAAUGUGUUUCGCACACAGUCCAGUUUCCUCUGAACUGACCCUUGAGCCACGACCGGAAUUAGCUGUACAUCCAGCAGAAAAUGUCUCGUUCAGUUGCUCCGGAUAUGAGAAAAACCAAACAAUUCAAUGGCUGCUACCUGACAGAACCAUGGUUCCAACGAACACCACCAUGAGGAUUUAUAAACUGAAUGACACACUAAACAUAAUAAAUGUCACGUACAAUGACACGGGUGUUUAUGUCUGCCAGACUACAGACCUCUUGAUGAAUGUGACCGCGGAGUUGAA